Molecule: long non-coding RNA, 2987 nt
Organism: Equus caballus (horse)
Lineage: Eukaryota; Metazoa; Chordata; Mammalia; Perissodactyla; Equidae
Source: Ensembl
AUAAUAUUGUUAUAUUGUUGGCAAAGGGGGCUAUUUUAUCAAAGCUUGUGAAAUGAAUGCAAUUAGAAAGCAGUAGAUGCCAUGUAUUCUCAGAAUAUUCAAGGAUUUUUUUUCUAUAUAAUCCGAACUUAUAAAUUCUACCCCAGGAAAUUUAUGGCAUCUUCCAGAAAAGUAGAUUUAUAGUUUGAUUCUGCUUUCUGUAUUCUAAUAUUAAAUUUCCGUAAAGUAGUGUGAUAUUUCAAAACAUAGGUAUUGGCUUAAAAAAUGUUUUUCAAAGUUUGAAACUAAGGUAAAUUUUCUAUUCCCUAACUUUCAAACAAACUUCAUGAUCUAUUUUUGCAAAGGAAAAAUAGCCAACACGGUGAAAAUGAUGGUAAAAAGGAGAAAAAAUCCUAUCUAAGAAUGUUUAAAUCACACAAUAAAUCACCAAAAAUUCCUGGAAACUGACCUCCGCAUCUUGGCACCAAAUACAGCAAACCUAUUCCCAUAAAGCUGCUGUCUGCCUCCUCCCAGCUGCCGGUGAACACGACCUUUCCCCGUGAAAGCCGUGAAGUUUUGGAAGAGUUUUGUUUGUUUUCUGUGUUCUCAGCUGUCCCUUUGUAGAGCUGUACCUCCUUCCCCUUCAAGCCCUCUACGUUUCUUAGUCCUGAACCUUAGAUCAAAAUUUUAAACAUUCUGAUAUCAGUCACUUAUAUUUGUGAAUUAACUGGCAGGUCAUAACGUUUUCUUUAAAGUUGCAAUGUCUUACAACAACAGAUAUUUAUAAUGUGUCCAUUUCUUCAUCCAUUCCCUUAAUUGGUUUUUAUUUAACAAAUGUGUAUUGAUACCUAAUAUGUGCCAGCUAGGCAUUAUGCAUGGUGCAGAAUUUUACCAAUAAAUGACAGAGCAACUUACCUUAUAAAGAGCGUGAAUGAACAAAUAAACGAAUGAAGGAAUGAAUGAUUUGGGGCACUUUAUUAUUAGUGAUGGACGAAAUAGGGUUAUCUUAGGAUUCAGAAGGCAAAUGGAGAAACUUGGGAGAAGAGGAAGAGCCCUUGAAAUUUCUUUCGGGUUGUCUAGUCCCUACAGAAAAGCUGAAGGAAAGUGUGACUUCUGUUCUCUGGCUUCAUGAAGGAUCAAGACUCGAUCUUUUCCUGUUUGAUGUCCCUGGCACAGUCCUUCACAAUUUCUCCUACAGUCUGAGGAUUUUGGCCCCAUCUUUUCGGCUAACUCAUCCUGACUCUCUCUCCUUUCCUUCUGCUCUCAGACUCUUGGAUGCGUAUUUUAUGACUUCUAGUUUAUUAUUUUAAUUACUUCCUCAUAAGAGUUCCCUAAUCCAUCUGCUAUCUUAUGUGCCUCUUAUUAAAACGUAAAUAUUAUCAAAUAUAAUUUGGCCUGAUAACCAUUCUCCCUAUUUGACAAAUUUUGCAUCUGUUAAAUAGACUUUGACAAAGAUUUAUUAUCUAUGAAUUACCAUUAACAGAAAUAUUAUUGUGUUAGGGGAAUGCAAUUUUCACGGUGCUGGUUUUUCUUGGAGUGGUCCCCAGAUCCAUUUUCUGCCCUUCUCUGCUUAGCUCUAUGCUGACAUCUGUGUGUCACCAGUGUCCCUUGGGCAGAUGACUUGCAGUUGGUUUUGUCAGUGGAAGAAUAGGGUCUUCAGAAGAUCAGAGCACAGAAGGAGAGAGAACUCUGGGUAUUUCUUCCUCUCCUCCUCCUCUUUGUUUCAGUGUCACUUUUUUGACAGUGGCUGUGUCCCUCCAGAUCCACAUUUCCCACUGGAUGACCCCUCCUCCAGGGCUCCAGCUAUCAGUGGAGUCCUUGCAAUAUUUCCUCCCCUUUCCCCUUAAGCUCAAGGAGUGGUAACAGUUCCUCUCUACUGCUGGUCUGCCAUCAUCGUCUCAUUCUUGUUCCUUUACCUACCUACACCUCUGUAACUGGUAACUUUGUUUGUGUCUUCACCUGAAUCAUUUGGGGUAAAUUCUGUGUCCUAGUCAGGACGCUAACUGCAGUGCAGUGUACAUCUUCCACAGUGAAGAAAAGAAGAAGAAGAAAAAGGCUUGGGAAGCUGAAGCAAGAUGUCCAGGAUGAUCGGAGUGGAAGUGAUAAGCUACUACAUAAGCACUAAGCUAGCAAACGGCGGGAAUUUCAGCCUUCACAUACUUAAAGGAUGUGCCUGAUUUUAUUAUUUCUUCCAGAAAGUUCUGGAUUCUGAAUGUCUACUCAAAUACAAGAAAUCCUUUUUUUCCUGUUUGAAUUGUCUUCAAAGUGAAUUUUCCAAAGCCACCCCACUGAGUGACCAUGAGGGAAAAUUGGAAAUUAGUGGCUGACGUCAUGUUGGUGGAGGGGAAAGAGAAAGCUCAUAUCCCCCAACUUGCACCAGGAAAGAGCAGAAGCUGGAAGUGAAUUAUAGUUGAGAGGCGAUGAGGGGAAGUGGCAACUGAGGCAGCUAUGGCCCAUACAGGGAGAGCCACUUGCCCAGGAUCAUUCAGCUAAUUAGUGAUAGAACUGUGGAAGCUGUGUGCCCCAGCUUUCCAAUGUUCUUUUCGCUAUACCAAUCUUGUACAGCAAACAGAAUUAUUUGGGAGUCCUCAAUAAUGACGGACGGUUGGAAGUCCUCAACCAAUAGGAAUUAACUGACAAAAUAUUACAAAAAAACUACAUGAAUAAGCAGAAAAAUGAUAUAAUCUUUCACCAGACAUUGUCAUAUGUAGAUGGAGUCCCUGGAACUGUGGCAGAGUUUGUGACUAUGAAGGGAGGAGCAAGCUACAGUCAGCAGCCAUGAGGGCUAACUGCAUCUCUGAUGGAAAAUCAGAGGCCUUCUGGCCUGAAACACCAAAAUGCCCACAUGAUGAUCUUGACCAUGAAAGGGAGGGGUAAUUCUGGAAAGCAGAGAGCCAGAGAAUGGGGGCUCCAAUUUCUCUGUAUGAACUCUAUGUAAUUAUCUAGCUAGCCCCUGAAACAUGCAUGUAUGGAACAGAUCCAUGUGAAAAUAAAACAACUGAGCUGAG